RNAcentral lists this ribosomal RNA (260 nucleotides) under uncultured bacterium. RNAcentral describes it as "partial 16S ribosomal RNA". It matches the Rfam family "Bacterial small subunit ribosomal RNA", at positions 99 to 354 of the family's 1533-position model. The record is from RNAcentral.
CGAACGGGUGAGUAACACGUGGGCAACCUGCCCAAAGAGGGGGAUAACACUUGGAAACAGGUGCUAAUACCGCAUAACCAUAGUUACCGCAUGGUAACUAUGUAAAAGGUGGCUAUGCUACCGCUUUUGGAUGGGCCCGCGACGCAUUAGCUAGUUGGUGGGGUAAAGGCUUACCAAGGCAAUGAUGCGUAGCCGAACUGAGAGGUUGAUCGGCCACAUUGGGACUGAGACACGGCCCAAACUCCUACGGAAGGCAGCAG